AAGAAUAUGCAUAUUAAUUAACCCCCCACCAGCCCCUCCCCCACUCUCUCUCUCGUAUUUUCCCCAAAACGAAACCCUAUCCUCUCUCUAUGUUUUUUAAUCUGAAAGCAUGUGAAAUCCUUAACAAUCAACUUUUUCAAAUUUAUCUCUCAAUGACUGAAGACUCACAUGAUGUCUAUUUGAAUUGGGUGAAGAUUCACAAACCGACAAUGACAAUAGUUAUUAAUCUGAACAGGGUUUGAAGAGUUGAACUUACAAGUCAAGAUGCAAGUUUUGAAGAUUUCAUGCAGUAUUCUUUAUCACUUGCAAGGGUAGUUAGGAAAAAGGUUAUUUUUGCUAAAAGAUUGUGUAAACAGCACCGUGACAUAUGCAUCAUGGUUAUACAAUUACUAGUGGGAUGUAAUAUACUUUUGUAAUUCAUACCCAAUUUUAUACAUGUACAUUUGUAUAUUUGUAUAUGAAAGCGUGAUUUUAUUGAAA
Long non-coding RNA from Nicotiana tabacum (common tobacco), 480 nucleotides. RefSeq lists it as uncharacterized. Lineage: Eukaryota; Viridiplantae; Streptophyta; Magnoliopsida; Solanales; Solanaceae. The record is from RefSeq and is a predicted model, not a curated record.